Small nucleolar RNA from Alosa alosa (allis shad), 68 nucleotides. RefSeq annotates it as small nucleolar RNA SNORD37. NCBI's taxonomy places the organism in Eukaryota, Metazoa, Chordata, Actinopteri, Clupeiformes, Clupeidae. The record is from RefSeq and is a predicted model, not a curated record. The transcript has a single exon.
ACGUGUGAUGACUUAAACAAUCUUCACUUUGACCUGAAUGUCUAGUGAUGAAAUUACUCUGUCUGAUG